CCUGCACCUAGAAGUGUGGCUAGUGUGUCACCUAUGCAUCAGUAGGUGACAGAGAGGAAAGAAGCUAUGCUACAUCUCUGACUUACCCUGUCUUCUGACUUGUGAACAUCUGAAUGAUUGAUAAGCUAAUGUU
Molecule: small nucleolar RNA, 133 nt
Organism: Acomys russatus (golden spiny mouse)
Lineage: Eukaryota; Metazoa; Chordata; Mammalia; Rodentia; Muridae
Product: small nucleolar RNA SNORA17
Exons: 1
Source: RefSeq, a predicted model, not a curated record